This 342-nucleotide ribosomal RNA is filed under the name Salmonella enterica. RNAcentral describes it as "bacterial SSU rRNA". It matches the Rfam family "Bacterial small subunit ribosomal RNA", at positions 629 to 970 of the family's 1533-position model. RNAcentral also lists the same sequence under 2 other names. The record is from RNAcentral. Lineage: Bacteria; Pseudomonadati; Pseudomonadota; Gammaproteobacteria; Enterobacterales; Enterobacteriaceae.
GAAACUGGCAGGCUUGAGUCUUGUAGAGGGGGGUAGAAUUCCAGGUGUAGCGGUGAAAUGCGUAGAGAUCUGGAGGAAUACCGGUGGCGAAGGCGGCCCCCUGGACAAAGACUGACGCUCAGGUGCGAAAGCGUGGGGAGCAAACAGGAUUAGAUACCCUGGUAGUCCACGCCGUAAACGAUGUCUACUUGGAGGUUGUGCCCUUGAGGCGUGGCUUCCGGAGCUAACGCGUUAAGUAGACCGCCUGGGGAGUACGGCCGCAAGGUUAAAACUCAAAUGAAUUGACGGGGGCCCGCACAAGCGGUGGAGCAUGUGGUUUAAUUCGAUGCAACGCGAAGAACC